Molecule: non-coding RNA, 1790 nt
Organism: Camellia sinensis
Lineage: Eukaryota; Viridiplantae; Streptophyta; Magnoliopsida; Ericales; Theaceae
Source: RefSeq, a predicted model, not a curated record
UCUAGAUUUAAAAAAAAAAGAAAAACUCAACAUUCACACAAGCACGGAUAACAAAAGCCUGAGAUAGAAAUUUUGUUUUCUAAAAGGAAGCCAUUAUGGCACAAUCAGCAUCCUCUGUUUCUCUCUCUGCUCUCUUUCUCUCUCUCUCUCUCUCUCUCUCUCUCUCUCUCUCUCUAAGUUUCCGUCUGUUUCUUUGUCUCUAACAUUCACAUUCACACAAACGCAAACCCUAGGCCACCAUUCAACACCAAAAAGUUGUUGGACCUCUCGAUUUGCUUCAAAGAAUCAUCAUGGAAACUCCACGUCUCCUCAUCGAGCCUGUAGUUUGGCCCUCUCUUCUCUUUCUCGGUUGCAAACUGCCAAGCAUCAAAACGUUUGAUCGUUUUACUCAUAAAUACCUGAUUCUGAUUUUUUUUUUUUUUUUGCUAAACCUUAAAUCGAUUUGUUGAUCAAGGAAUUAUUAGGUAUUUUCUGGAUAUUAUUACUAUUCAAUUUUUGAUUUAGUGAUAUGUGUUUGUGGUUGUGUUUUUCUACAUUUCAAUAACUCUUCCUCAGUUCCAGUUCUAUUUUAGAGUUGCAGAAGUUGAAAAGAUAAAUAGGAUAUCACAGGAUGGUAGCAGACGGGCAGUUAUAUAUUUGCUAUUACUACAAUUUUUAAUUAAAUAUUUGUUGUGUCCUAUAUUCCUUAUAUUAAACUUCUCGUAGUCACCAGGAAAAUCACUACAAAUUUGAGAGAGGGAAAAAACCCCUCAAGGGUCCUUACUCUUGUAUAUCAACCAUUUGCACUUGGGACACUUGCAAUACUGACAUACAAAAAGGCAAAAAUCAAUACCAGAAGAAGAAACGUAUUUGGAUAUAUCCUUUUUUUUCAUAAGUGCUCUUGCUGCUCUUGUUGUAAAGACCAUAAUUAUAUGUAUUACAUCUUCAACUUACUCCUUAACCAUAUGGUCUUGUAGUAACAUGUGUUAGUAACUCAAAUUCAAAUUAUUAAGCAUACAAGUCUACUUUGAUUCCAUCUUUCAUUGUAUUGCCACAGCUGGAUUUAGCUACAUGUGAAGAAGGAGGAAUUGGGACUUAUAUUGGAAUAUGUAUCAUUAGCGGUGCUUUUGGAGUUGCAGAUGCUCAUGUUCAAGGUGGAAUGGUUGGAGAUCUUUCAUUCAUGCUCCCGAGUUCAUGCAACAUUUGAUAAGCAUGUCCACUCUGGCAAAAGUGGAGGAAAUAAUGUUCGAGAGAUGGAUUUUGAGAGUUUUCUCGACUUUGUUCUGGCCCUAGAAAACAAAGACACUCCAUAGGGGUUAACUUAUUUGUUUCAUUGUCUUAAUGUCCAUGGAAGAGGAUUCCUCACAACAACUGAUAUUCACACACUUUUCAGCUGAAGUCGCAAAUUCUAUGUGGUAUUGAUCCAACCAAGCACCAUAUGGCCAUGACAUUGUUUCCAUAAUGGGAAAGGUGGAUCAGAUCAUUCUCAAAAUGUUCCUAAUGACGAGAUAGGCAUUGGACAUGGAGGGUCUUCUGGCAGAGGUUAUGGGCUUUCGGCUAUUGGAAAUGGUCCAUCUGUCGAAUCUUAUCGUUAUCAUGAUGAAAUUACUAUUAGUGAAGCUAGCUGAUUUUCUGUUAUUCUGAAAUGUGUGCUUGCACCUGUUGCUCCUGUUAUUGCUGCAACAUCUUGUAGCUCGACUUUCUUCGCGCCCCCUUUCAGAGAGGUCGAAUUGGUCCUACAGUUUGGACUCCUGUCACGGUUCUGAAUCUAAUCUCACAAAGUGCAAUGUGAGAUUGAUAAACACCAAAGA